CAAUGUCUCUGCAAUGUAAUCA
RNAcentral lists this microRNA (22 nucleotides) under Melibe leonina. RNAcentral's name for it is "mle-miR-33-3p". Its record names the gene mle-miR-33-3p. Lineage: Eukaryota; Metazoa; Mollusca; Gastropoda; Nudibranchia; Dendronotidae. The record is from miRBase by way of RNAcentral.